RNAcentral lists this small RNA (130 nucleotides) under Anopheles quadriannulatus. RNAcentral describes it as "arthropod 7SK RNA". It matches the Rfam family "Arthropod 7SK RNA", at positions 15 to 173 of the family's 351-position model. Lineage: Eukaryota; Metazoa; Arthropoda; Insecta; Diptera; Culicidae. The record is from RNAcentral.
GUGAUGGCACGAUAACUGAACAUUGAUCGCCAAUAGUUUAGUUUGCAGAUCUGUCCCGUGGCAUGCGUCACAACUCUAAUGGUAGUCUUUCUUCUGUAUCAUCGAUGAUCUCUCGCUGCACGGCGACGGG